This 254-nucleotide ribosomal RNA is filed under the name uncultured bacterium. RNAcentral's name for it is "partial 16S ribosomal RNA". It matches the Rfam family "Bacterial small subunit ribosomal RNA", at positions 524 to 776 of the family's 1533-position model. The record is from RNAcentral.
UACGUAGGGUCCGAGCGUUGUCCGGAAUUACUGGGCGUAAAGAGCUCGUAGGUGGUUUGUCGCGUUGUUCGUGAAAACUCACAGCUCAACUGUGGGCGUGCGGGCGAUACGGGCAGACUGGAGUACUGCAGGGGAGACUGGAAUUCCUGGUGUAGCGGUGGAAUGCGCAGAUAUCAGGAGGAACACCGGUGGCGAAGGCGGGUCUCUGGGGCAGUAACUGACGCUGAGGAGCGAAAGCGUGGGGAGCGAACAGG